RNAcentral lists this microRNA precursor (86 nucleotides) under Loxodonta africana (African savanna elephant). Its description in RNAcentral is "miRNA (ENSLAFG00000026124.1)". Lineage: Eukaryota; Metazoa; Chordata; Mammalia; Proboscidea; Elephantidae. The record is from RNAcentral.
AUCACCAGGGGAUCUUGUUAAAAUGUGUUGGUAGGUUUGGGUGGGGCCUGAGAUUCUGCAUUUCUAACAAGUUCCCCGGUGAAGCC